RNAcentral lists this ribosomal RNA (459 nucleotides) under uncultured Porphyromonadaceae bacterium. RNAcentral describes it as "bacterial SSU rRNA". It matches the Rfam family "Bacterial small subunit ribosomal RNA", at positions 338 to 795 of the family's 1533-position model. The record is from RNAcentral. Lineage: Bacteria; Pseudomonadati; Bacteroidota; Bacteroidia; Bacteroidales; Porphyromonadaceae.
CCUACGGGGGGCUGCAGUGGGGAAUAUUGGUCAAUGGGCGCGAGCCUGAACCAGCCAAGUCGCGUGAGGGAAGACGGUCCUAUGGAUUGUAAACCUCUUUUGUCGGGGAGCAAAAGACGCCUCGCGUGGCGUUCCGAGAGUACCUGGAGAAAAAGCAUCGGCUAACUCCGUGCCAGCAGCCGCGGUAAUACGGAGGAUGCGAGCGUUAUCCGGAUUUAUUGGGUUUAAAGGGUGCGUAGGCGGCCUGCCAAGUCAGCGGUAAAAUUGCGGGGCUCAACCCCGUACAGCCGUUGAAACUGCCGGGCUCGAGUGGGCGAGAAGUAUGCGGAAUGCGUGGUGUAGCGGUGAAAUGCAUAGAUAUCACGCAGAACCCCGAUUGCGAAGGCAGCAUACCGGCGCCCGACUGACGCUGAGGCACGAAAGUGCGGGGAUCAAACAGGCUUAGAUACCCGAGUAGUC